This 496-nucleotide ribosomal RNA is filed under the name uncultured bacterium. RNAcentral describes it as "partial 16S ribosomal RNA". It matches the Rfam family "Bacterial small subunit ribosomal RNA", at positions 28 to 507 of the family's 1533-position model. The record is from RNAcentral.
GAUGAACGCUGGCGGCGUGCCUAAUACAUGCAAGUCGAGCGAACGGACGAGAAGCCUGCUUCUCUGAUGUUAGCGGCGGACGGGCGAGUAACACGUGGAUAACCUACCUAUAAGACUGGGAUAACUUCGGGAAACCGGAGCUAAUACCGGAUGAUAUUUUGAACCGCAUGGUUCAAAAGUGAAAGACGGUCUUGCUGUCACUUAUAGAUGGAUCCGCGCUGCAUUAGCUAGUUGGUAAGGUAACGGCUUACCAAGGCAACGAUGCAUAGCCGACCUGAGAGGGUGGCCGCCCACAGUGAAACUAGAGACGGGACCGAGCCCCUGCGGAGGGCCGGAAGAGGAACUCUUCCCGAAGGGGCGAAAGCCGAACGGUGCGACCCCGGGGAGGUGAGAGAGGUCUUCGAUGCUUAAAACUUUUUUAUUGGAGAAAAACAUAUGUUAAAUGACCUGGACCUUUCUUGAGGGUCCCAAAUCAGAAGGCCCGGGAAACUAUCGG